RNAcentral lists this transfer RNA (85 nucleotides) under Nitrososphaerota archaeon. RNAcentral's name for it is "tRNA-Leu". It matches the Rfam family "tRNA". Rfam says of the family: Transfer RNA (tRNA) molecules are approximately 80 nucleotides in length. The record is from RNAcentral. Lineage: Archaea; Thermoproteati; Nitrososphaerota. RNAcentral also lists the same sequence under 1 other name.
GCAGGGGUAGCCCAGCUUGGUCAAAGGCGCCAGAUUCAGGGUCUGGUCUCGAAGGAGUACGUGGGUUCGAAUCCCUCCCCCUGCA